UACGAAGGGGGCAAGCGUUGUUCGGAAUUAUUGGGCGUAAAGGGAGCGUAGGCGGUUCGGCAAGUCUUUAGUGAAAUCUCUGGGCUCAACUCAGAGUCUGCUGGAGAAACUGCCGGGCUGGAGUAUGGGAGAGGUGAGUGGAAUUCCUGGUGUAGCAGUGAAAUGCGUAGAUAUCAGGAGGAACAUCGAUGGCGAAGGCAGCCCCUUGGACCUGUACUGACGCUCAUGCACGAAAGCGUGGGGAGCAAACAGG
Molecule: ribosomal RNA, 253 nt
Filed under: uncultured bacterium
Lineage: Bacteria
Description: partial 16S ribosomal RNA
Rfam family: Bacterial small subunit ribosomal RNA
Source: RNAcentral